GACGAGCGCUGGCGGCGUGCCUAAUACAUGCAAGUAGAACGCUGAAGGAGGAGCUUGCUUCUCUGGAUGAGUUGCGAACGGGUGAGUAACGCGUAGGUAACCUGCCUGGUAGCGGGGGAUAACUAUUGGAAACGAUAGCUAAUACCGCAUAAGAGUAGAUGUUGCAUGACAUUUGCUUAAAAGGUGCAAUUGCAUCACUACCAGAUGGACCUGCGUUGUAUUAGCUAGUUGGUGGGGUAACGGCUCACCAAGGCGACGAUACAUAGCCGACCUGAGAGGGUGAUCGGCCACACUGGGACUGAGACACGGCCCAGACUCCUACGGGAGGCAGCAGUAGGGAAUCUUCGGCAAUGGACGGAAGUCUGACCGAGCAACGCCGCGUGAGUGAAGAAGGUUGUCGGAUCGUAAAGCUCUGUUGUAAGAGAAGAACGAGUGUGAGAGUGGAAAGUUCACACUGUGACGGUAUCUGACCAGAAAGGGACGGCUAACUACGUG
This 495-nucleotide ribosomal RNA is filed under the name uncultured bacterium. RNAcentral describes it as "partial 16S ribosomal RNA". It matches the Rfam family "Bacterial small subunit ribosomal RNA", at positions 28 to 507 of the family's 1533-position model. The record is from RNAcentral.